Molecule: ribosomal RNA, 1118 nt
Filed under: Candidatus Thorarchaeota archaeon
Lineage: Archaea; Promethearchaeati; Candidatus Thorarchaeota
Description: bacterial SSU rRNA
Rfam family: Archaeal small subunit ribosomal RNA
Source: RNAcentral
CAACUCUAGUUGAUCCUGCUAGAGGACACUGCUAUCGGCUUGGGGUUAAGACAUGCAAGUGGAACGGGCUCGCAUCCGAGUCCGUCGCGAACGGCUCAGUAGUGUCGCUAACCUACCCUGUGGAGGGGCAUAACGCCGGGAAACUGGCGCUAAUUCCCCAUAGGAGCAAUGUUCUGGAAAUGAUAUUGCUCUGAAAAGGGUGUCCCAGGUAUGUGGGGCUCUCCGCCACAGGACGGGGCGGCACCGGAUCAUACUUGUAAGUGGGGUAACUGCCCACUUAGGUUAUGACCCGAACGGGCGAUGUAAGUCGUGGCCCGGAGAAGGGCACUGAGACAAGGGCCCUAGCCCCACGGGGUGCAGCAGUUACGAAACCUCACCAAUGCGCGAAAGCGUGAGUGGGCCAAGCCGAGUGAUGGGGGAUAACUCCAUCUGUGGCGGAUCCGCAAGAUGGACCGCUAGAAAGGAGAGGGCAAGGCUGGUGCCAGCCGCCGCGGUAAAACCAGCUCUUCGAGUGGUGUCCACGAUUAUUGAGCUUAAAGCGUCCGUAGCCGGCUUGGUAGGUCCCUGCUUAAAUCCGGCCGCCCAACGGUCGGCUUGGUAGGGAUACCGCCUCGCUUGGGGACGGGAGACGGCGACGGUAUUCCACGGGUAGGGGUGAAAUCCUAUGAUCCGUGGAGGACCACCAGUGGCGAAGGCGGUCGCCGAGAACGUGCCCGACGGUGAGGGACGAAACCCAGGGUAGCGAAUCGGAUUAGAUACCCGAGUAGUCCUGGGCGUAAACGAUGCCCGUUAAGUGUUGCACGGCUACGAGCCGCUGCAGUGCUGUAGCGAAAGCGAUAAACGGGCCGCUUGGGAAGUACGGCCGCAAGGCUGAAUUCCCCUCAGCCUAAUAGAACAGUGCCUGAGGGGACAGCAGACUUAAAGGAAUUGGCGGGGGAGCACCACAAGGGGUGGAGCUUGCGGUUUAAUUGGACUCAACGCCGGAAAUCUUACCCGCCCAGACAGCCGAAUGAGGGCCAGACUGAUGAUCUUGCCCGACGAGCUGAGAGCUGGUGCAUGGCCAUCGUAAAUUCGUGCCGUGAGGUAUCAGCUUAAGUGCUGCAACGAAUGAGAUCCCU